CGGAGGCUAGGUGUAAACGUGCUUAAAAAUUAUUGACUACUUGUUUACGAUUACGAGUUGUAUUCGCAGUUGGAUUCCUCAUAAUUGGGAUAGGUCCACUGAAUUUUAUGGAGAAGAUGGUGCCUAUCUGUUUUGUCGUUAUUGAUAUUUGCUGUUUUGGCCGAUUGUUCAUUGUUACGAUAAUGAAGGGAAUGACGUGUGCAAUGAUGCCUAAAAGAACAAUUUGGAUGGUUGUCAUAGGCUCAUAACUUACCUCUUUUGCUCUCUCUCUAUUUAUAUCACUUAUCAACACUGAAAAAAUGCACCUGCUUCUUCUGUUUCUACGACAUUACAACCAUAUUCAAGUUCUGUUCCGUUUGAGAAGUGGAGACCCAGUUUGGAGGCAUAAUUUUAUAGCCUAUGCAUAUAUAAAGAUUUGAUUUUCAAUAGAAGAAACAGAUCCUUUUCUGCAUAAUCAUUUGUUCGUCUGCUGAAAGCAUGGCACAAGACUAUAGAGAGGCAUUAUUGAAGAAGAAUUAUUAUGAGAACUGUCCAGGAUGUAAGGUUGAUCAACUCAAAGAAUUGAGGAGAGGACUACCUAUUCGAGAGCUUGUUUCGAUAUGGAUUGUUGUGCUUUGUACUGCACUUCCAAUAUCAUCUCUCUUUCCAUUCCUCUAUUUCAUGGUUAGGGAUUUUAAGAUUGCAAAGCGGGAGGAAGAUAUUGGCUAUUAUGCUGGAUAUGUUGGGUCUUCAUUUAUGCUUGGGAGAGCUUUGACCUCCAUCUUUUGGGGGGUAGUAGCUGAUCGCUAUGGACGAAAACCUGUUAUAAUUAUGGGGACCUUCACUGUGUUAGUAGUUUCUUCCUUCAGUUAUUUUCAACACUAUCUUUGGCCUUAGCACAAAUUUUUGGAUGGCUAUUAGUGCAAGGUUUCUGUUGGGGAGUUUGAAUGGUUUGCUUGGACCUAUAAAGGCAUAUGCAUGUGAAAUUUUCCGGGACGAACACCAAGCCUUAGGAUUGUCAACAGUGAGUACCUCAUGGGGUAUCGGAUUGAUCAUUGGCCCAGCUCUAGGAGGUUUCCUUGCUCAGCCAGCAGAGAAAUAUCCAAAUCUCUUUCCCAAGGAAUCUUUGUUUGGAAGGUUUCCAUACUUCCUGCCUUGUUUCUGUAUAUCAGUUUUUGCAUUGGGAGUCACUAUUGCUUCUUGCUGGCUUCCGGAAACAUUGCAUAUGCAUAAUGAAAACAGAUUUUUGAGUGAUGACUCAUUUGCUGCUAUGGAAACUGCAUCUAGUGGGUCUGACGGAAUUGAAAGCAGACCAGGCAGUGAAAGAAGCAAACGAGCUUCUGGAGAAAGCCUUAUAAGGAAUUGGCCUUUAAUGUCAUCUAUCAUUGUUUAUUGCGUCUUCUCUCUUCAUGAUAUGGCUUACACAGAGAUAUUUUCAUUAUGGGCUGUCAGCCCAAGAAAGUUUGGGGGGCUGAGCUAUUCAACUGAGGAUAUUGGGGCGGUUCUUGCCAUCUCAGGUUUCAGCCUUCUUGUCUUUCAACUCUCUCUAUAUCCAUACAUGGAAAGGAUUCUUGGACCUAUAACAAUAUCUCGCUUAUCUGGGGUUAUAUCUAUACCAUUGUUGGCAAGUUACCCUUUUAUUGCCAUGUUGUCAGGGUUCAGCCUUAGUCUUCUGUUAAAUUGUGCAUCUAUCAUGAAGAACGUUCUAUCUGUAAGUGAUCCUGACCUAUCCUGAUCUCCUCUAAAGUAUGAUCUUUUAAUAAGAAAUCCACACAAUGCACAUAAUGUUGUUUAUAGCAGUGAAGGAAUAAGAAUAUUCAUUAUGGGAUGGCAACAUUGUUUGUAAGAGGAGAAUCAUAUCCCUCAAAAUGCUUGCCUGUCUGCCUUCUCUCUCCCUCUCUCAUAUGACCAGGUCCUUUACUUAGUUUUCUUCUUCGUAUAGAUAAUUGUCAUUAAUAAAUUUUAACAUGGACAAUUUAGACUGAAUAUUUAAAAAUGCUAUAUAGAGUAACUGGAAAAUGCUCCAAAAUGCAGCUUUUAGAAUCAAUAGCUUUUAGGCGUUCUAAUGACUAAAAACUGCUAAUAUGUUGUUUACUAAUAAGGUGAUCUAGCUGUUGGGCAUCAAAUAGCUAUUGCAUAUUUUCCAACUGCUAAAACAAAUACACCCUAAAAAACCUUAAACACCUAUCUUGUUUGGCUGUUGUUCUGAACAGUGGCUCAUAUAUAUUACCAGGUAGUUUUGCACUCUUCAUUAAACACUAGCUCACAUGCAAAUUAGUUCAAUUGUGGUGGUGAAAGAGUAAAGGUGUUGGAGUUUGGUUCACAUUAAUUUGUUUUACCUUUGUGAAUAAUGAACUGGUACUCUUUGGAGAGUUGUAGCUGACAUGAGAGGAAGGGAAGUGCUAGGGAUAUGUCAAUUUUCCAUUGUUGGCACAUCUUUUGAAAAUGGAUUCGAAUAAAAAUGGUACAUGAAGUUAAUGCAUCAAUGGAUCAAUGCAUGAGCAAACAUGCUCUUCAAAAUAAUAACUGAUAACCAUUAACUUCAGUGGGUACAUAAGAAGUUGAUUUUCGGUGAUCUCAUACAUAACCUCUAAAUGCUGUAAUCAACAGCAUCAGUGAAGUUGUCAUUGCUUGAAAUUCUGCUGAUGCUCCAUUCUUUAUGCAUGUGGUGAUCCUUCAAUUGACGUAAGGGAAUAGAUGUAAUUGACGUAAGGGAAUAGAUGAUAUCAAUACCUUAUCAUUUAUGCUGUCUUCAAAGAAAAUUCA
Molecule: unclassified non-coding RNA, 2745 nt
Filed under: Hevea brasiliensis (rubber tree)
Lineage: Eukaryota; Viridiplantae; Streptophyta; Magnoliopsida; Malpighiales; Euphorbiaceae
Source: RNAcentral